UAAAAUUAAAUUAAUAAAAGGUUUUACAUUAGCCGCGCAAGCUUUCGGUAGUGCAAUAAUAUUCAUACCUUUAUCUGGUAAAAUAUUGAAUAAAUUAGGAUAUGGUUACACCUUUA
This is a long non-coding RNA of Wasmannia auropunctata (little fire ant), 116 nucleotides long. RefSeq lists it as uncharacterized. The transcript has 2 exons. NCBI's taxonomy places the organism in Eukaryota, Metazoa, Arthropoda, Insecta, Hymenoptera, Formicidae. The record is from RefSeq and is a predicted model, not a curated record.